GAAAUAAAGUAAGUGUCAUUAGGAGAUAUUUUUCCAUUUGACAAGAACAUAGUGUAAUUUUUACUAGUGGAAUUAAGAUGGCUUAAUGAAAAACCUUACACUUGGAAUAAUAUGAAAAAAAUUCCUCUCCCUUGACAUUAUCACUUAGAGACAGCAAAAGGGGGUCACGGUUUUCUGUCAAGUAUCAUCUCCAAAUCCCAUCACACUUUGGAGAAGUUUGGUUUGAUACAGAGCUGCUCAGCUCAGUACCCACUCAGUAAGACGAUUAACAAUUUUUUGAACUUUACAGCAGUCAGUUACAUUAUACCAGGAAGGAAUUUGGCUGGAGAUUUCCUUCUUGCAAAGAUACUGCGUUCUUCUCUCUAGUAAAACUGAUGGGCUGAUGCUGCCCCAGACAGCAAGCAGAGCCCAGGACUCCCACAGAGCAGUGAUUUAAUCUGUCUCCUGCUCCACACACACAUCCCUGCAUCAACCCCAACAGCUACUGAUCAAAACACAUGUACAAUAUUUUGGUUGGUUUGUUUCUUUUUCCUGCUGUGUUAAUUUUCACAUUGUUCUCAGUGGGGGGGGGGGUUUGUUCUUUUUUUUUUUUUUUUUUUUAACUUCUCAUUUUUAAACAGAAACAUUUUGAAAUGGUACAUGUUGGUUUGGGGCAGAAUGAAAUGGCAUUGAACUUAUCAUCUUUUUUCCCUCUUUUCCUCUGCAGCAUUGGUUUCCCACCCUGCAGCAGGGCAGAAUCCCUGACCAGGAGAACAGCUGUAGAUCAUUUAAUGAGAAAGCAGAAGCUUGGGAAGGGAAGGCAAAAUUUAAAAGCAUCUUUAGAAAUCCAUUGAUGAAACAGCUACAUACUUAUCCUGGCUCUUCUCCCCUGGACCUACACAGAAACAAACCCAUCCUUUUUUUCCCCAAAAAAAAACCCCACCUAGCUGGUGGCAGCUUUUUGUAGUAUUUGCCAGAAAGGGAGAGCUGCUUUGUUUGUGUGUCCAUCAAAUUGCUGCUGUGUAUAAAAGCAAUGGCCCUUGGCAACUACAAAACAUGAGCACAGGGUGCUCCAUGUGCAGCCAGCCAGCACCAGACAAAGGCCCGUGCCGACACGAAGAGCGCUGGGAGGAAGGCCCAGUUUGGUGGGUGCUCCAAGCAUCUUCAAAGGGAUGAACUUGGAUUCUGCACUGGAGGGAAUAAGGGCUGUGAAAGCCCAGGCAAGAGGCAAACCACAGAAAGGAGACAUAACAACGCACUCAAAAUACAUAAACAGACUGUUCUCUGUGUCCAGGAGAAACAGAAAGGAUGUUAUCAGCUUAAAGGGGAUCAAAGGAUAUUUAGGCUGGAUGUUAGAAAUAUCUCUUGUACCUCUGAAGACUGCCUGGAGAUGAUGUGCUGUAUCCCUCACUGGCACGGUUUAAGAAUAAUACAAAAAGAGGCCGAUGGUGAGCAGCACACAUAUAGACGUGCCAUCCAGGGGAUGCGCUCAGACUGCUUCAGGUCUCUUCUACAUGUGUUCUCUCCAAGAUUAAGCAGGAAGAAUGUGUAACAACAGUUUCACAAAUCUCAAUAGAGACUGUAAACCCUCCUCUGCCUUUCUUUGCAGCUGCACAGCUCCUCCACUCUGUGCAAAGCUAGCCCUGAUUUGUAUCCACCAAACCCAAAACUGCAGCAUGUAGUUGUCAAAACCAGCAUUCCAAUCCACACUUAGAAAAGACAAAAAGCACACAGACAUCCUACAGAAAUUCUGCCAGAAAAAGCUAUUUGCUUCGCUUCCUACACUAACAGAGAAAGGACAAGAAAUAAUACAAUUUAUCUUUUCUAUUUAGCAAGACAUUUUUAUAUUUGAAAAUCUCAUUUGGCCCAAACCUAGGAGAGUUGCAAUUCUGAAUAUCUAACAAGGAGGGAACAAAAUCAAAGUCUAAAGGGUUUGUCGGUACUGAACGGACACAGCGCAACAAAGCUUUUGUUCCAAACUCUUUCAGACAUUCCUCUGUCUUUUGGACUGGGAGUGUGAGCAGAAAUGAAGAAGACGAGAUGCUGCCAUAGGGUAGCAGCACAUCAUCUACAGGCACCCAUUUACAGCUGGAGACCUCCACGUUCACCUCCAUCUAUGUGAUGGUAAAAGUGGCACUUGGAAGAAAAGGGAACUUGUUCUCUACAGCUGUAGCACAAGGUGGUGUCAAUGCAGCCACCGCUGCAGCUACCCAUCAUUUUAGAGAUCUACUUGCUGUAUGAUCCUCCACCACGUACUACAUUCUCCAAUGAUUUUGCACUCCUACUGUCUCUCAGAGAUUUCACGGACCAUGACCUUUUGGAGAGUAAGCUGAACAGAAGCAGCUGAAGGUGCAAAUGCCACUUUGAAACCCUUCCUUGUGCUUGAAUGUUGCCUGGGAAUCUGACACAUUUAUAUCCUUGUUGGGCUUUUCUCUGGCAUUUCGUAAACUUCACCAGUUUGGCCAUAACAUUCGCACAGCCCUUUUUUCUAUGCUUAGUUAUUAGCACUUGACAACCCAUCUAGGACUGAGGUGUAGCACAUGAACAUAGUAAAAACAUAAUUUCAAUACUCCAAAUAUAUUAAGGACAUAGUUUGACCUGGGGAGUGGCUUUGGCUCAGGAAAAGUCUGAUGAGCUUUCACCGCCUUAUGGCCACAGAAGGAAGAGUUGUUAGACCACUCAAAAUACUCCACACUGAAGAGCUUUGGCUGGUGGAAG
This is a long non-coding RNA of Falco peregrinus (peregrine falcon), 2697 nucleotides long. RefSeq lists it as uncharacterized. Lineage: Eukaryota; Metazoa; Chordata; Aves; Falconiformes; Falconidae. The record is from RefSeq and is a predicted model, not a curated record. The transcript is spliced from 3 exons.